GCCAAUAUCUCUCCUUUUCACCGUUCGAUUGAUUUCAAAAUUCUCAUAUAUAUAGAAAAACAAGUCUAAUAUCCUCUCACAAAAAUUUCACUCCAAUCCAACUAUUAGAUUGCAAGAAAUCUUGAAAACCCUCACUAGAUCUAAAAUUCUACUUUUUGAGACCUUGACUCACUUAAACCUUAAUAAUCUUCAAUUCAACCAUUAGAUCGAGCUCAAAUUUACAACACGUAUUAAAAACAAAUAUAACCAUGAAUUCACAAAAUUUUACCUAUAGAUCUGUUACAAAACUCUUGAAAUCAUCCAAAAUAUAAACCCUAUUUUAUUUCACAAAACCCAAGUCAUCUAAAACAAACCUUGACUUUGCAAAGCUCUUACAAAGUCAUAACAACUCCAAAUUGCCCAAAACUAAUGCUCAUAGAAACCCAAUCCAAUAUGCUAUCAAAUCUCAUUCUCCGAUCUGCACAACAAUCCUAUAGUCGUCGUCGAGACUUGGUUUUGUGCCUUAGGAUCUGAUUUCAACCCUGGUUUAUAACCAGUCCUCUCCGGGUAUCAAUAUCUAGUUUUUUUUAAGUAAAUUUUGCUAGAAUUUACUCUUAACUUCCUUCUAAAGAUGCUUAUAUCAUUUAUUUUUCCAAUCUACUUUGUUUUGCCUUACUUAUGGUCCUACAAAGCAAGUAGAAGUCACCUUUUUGAAAAGGCAGCAUUGGUAUCUUUUGAUUUUACUAU
Molecule: long non-coding RNA, 726 nt
Filed under: Physcomitrium patens
Lineage: Eukaryota; Viridiplantae; Streptophyta; Bryopsida; Funariales; Funariaceae
Description: long non-coding RNA (PPAT_LNC002860)
Source: RNAcentral